This 864-nucleotide ribosomal RNA is filed under the name uncultured archaeon. Its description in RNAcentral is "bacterial SSU rRNA". It matches the Rfam family "Archaeal small subunit ribosomal RNA", at positions 474 to 1337 of the family's 1478-position model. The record is from RNAcentral.
UACCCGUAGCUCGAGUUGUGACCAUUAUUAUUGAGUCUAAAGCGUUCGUAGCUGGCUUAGAUAGUUCGUGCUUAAAUUGUUCAGUCUAACUGGACAACAUGGUGCGAAUACUUCUAGACUAGAGGCCGGGAGGAGGGCUGGGAACUUUUCGGGUAGGAGUAAAAUCCUUUAAGCCGAAAAAGACCACCAAUAGCGAAGGCACAGCCCUAGAACGGACCUGACGGUGAGGGACGAAGGCUAGGAGAACGAACCGGAUUAGAUACCCGGGUAGCCCUAGCAGUAAACGCUGCUUACUAUACGUUGCAUUUCCUUGAGGAAAUGCAGUGUGACAGCGAAGGCGUUAAGUAAGCCACUUGGGGAGUACAAUCGCAAGGUCGAAACUUAAAGGAAUUGGCGGGGGAGCACAAAAACGGGUGAAAUUUGCGGUUUAAUUGGAUUCAACUCCGGGAAUCUUACCAGAGGCGACAGCAAUAUGAAGGUCAGCUUAAAGGACUUGCCUAAUGCGCUGAAAGGUGUUGCAUGGCCAUCAUCAGUUAGUAUCUUGAGACGUCCCGUUAAGUCGGGUAACUAACAAGACCCUCUUCCUUAUUUACUAACAUGCGAUCCGUCGCGAAUGAGUAAAAUAGGGAGACUGCUUUCGAAAGAAAGAGGAAGGCGAGGGCGACGGUAGGUCAGUAUGGCCCUAAUCCUCUGGGCUACACGCGAAUUGCAAUGGUAAAAGCAAUAGGAUGCCACUCCGAAAGGAGGAGCCAAUCCCCUAAUCUUUACCCCAGUUCGGAUCGAGGUCUGUAACUCGGCCUCGUGAACGUCGGAAUCCGUAGUAACCGCGUUUCAACAAAGCGCGGUGAAUACUUUCCUGCUCCU